GCCUACGGGACGCAGCAGUGGGGAAUAUUGCACAAUGGGGGAAACCCUGAUGCAGCAACGCCGCGUGAGUGAGGAAGUAUUUCGGUAUGUAAAGCUCUAUCAGCAGGGAAGAAGAAAGACGGUACCUGACUAAGAAGCCCCGGCUAACUACGUGCCAGCAGCCGCGGUAAUACGUAGGGGGCAAGCGUUACCCGGAUUUACUGGGUGUAAAGGGAGCGUAGACGGUGCAGCAAGUCUGAUGUGAAAGGUCGGGGCCCAACCCCGGGACUGCAUUGGAACCUGUUGAACUGGAGUACCGGAGAGGG
This 305-nucleotide ribosomal RNA is filed under the name uncultured bacterium. RNAcentral's name for it is "bacterial SSU rRNA". It matches the Rfam family "Bacterial small subunit ribosomal RNA", at positions 337 to 658 of the family's 1533-position model. The record is from RNAcentral.